AUUGAACGCUGGCGGCAGGCCUAACACAUGCAAGUCGAGCGAGCGGCGGACGGGUGAGUAAUGUCUGGGAAACUGCCUGAUGGAGGGGGAUAAACAAUGGAAACGGUAGCGAAUACCGCAUACCAUCAGAUGGGCCCAGAUGGGAUUAGCUAGUAGGUGGGGUAACGGCCCACCUAGGCGACGAUCCCUAGCUGGUCUGAGAGGAUGACCAGCCACACUGGAACUUAGACCCGGUCCAGACUCCUACGGGAGGCAGCAGUGGGGAAUCUUGCACAAUGGGCGCAAGCCUGUUGCAGCCAUGCCGCGUGUGUGAAGAAGGCCUUCGGGUUGUAAAGCACUUUCAGCGGGGAGGCGUUACCCGCAGAAGAAGCACCGGCUAACUCCGUGCCAGCAGCCGCGGUAAUUC
RNAcentral lists this ribosomal RNA (406 nucleotides) under uncultured bacterium. RNAcentral's name for it is "partial 16S ribosomal RNA". It matches the Rfam family "Bacterial small subunit ribosomal RNA", at positions 30 to 526 of the family's 1533-position model. The record is from RNAcentral.